This 469-nucleotide ribosomal RNA is filed under the name uncultured bacterium. Its description in RNAcentral is "bacterial SSU rRNA". It matches the Rfam family "Bacterial small subunit ribosomal RNA", at positions 330 to 792 of the family's 1533-position model. The record is from RNAcentral.
UCCAGACUCCUACGGGAGGCAGCAGUGGGGAAUCUUCCGCAAUGGGCGAAAGCCUGACGGAGCAACGCCGCGUGAUCGAAUGAAGGCCUUCGGGUUGUAAGGAUCUGUUGACAGGGACGAAUAAGCAAUGCGAAUAGUUUUGUGUAUGACGGUACCUGAGGAAUAAGCCACGGCUAACUACGUGCCAGCAGCCGCGGUAAUACGUAGGUGGCAAGCGUUAUCCGGAUUUACUGGGCGUAAAGGGAGCGCAGACGGCAGUGCAAGUCUGGAGUGAAAGCCCGGGGCCCAACCCCGGAACUGCUCUGGAAACUGUGCGGCUAGAGUACUGGAGGGGCAGGCGGAAUUCCUAGUGUAGCGGUGAAAUGCGUAGAUAUUAGGAGGAACACCAGUGGCGAAGGCGGCCUGCUGGACAGUAACUGACGUUGAGGCUCGAAAGCGUGGGGAGCAAACAGGAUUAGAUACCCCUGUA